ACUCCUGCGGGAGGCAGCAGUGGGGAAUAUUGCACAAUGGGCGCAAGCCUGAUGCAGCCAUGCCGCGUGUAUGAAGAAGGCCUUCGGGUUGUAAAGUACUUUCAGCGGGGAGGAAGGCAAUACGGUUAAUAACCGUGUUGAUUGACGUUACCCGCAGAAGAAGCACCGGCUAACUCCGUGCCAGCAGCCGCGGUAAUACGGAGGGUGCAAGCGUUAAUCGGAAUUACUGGGCGUAAAGCGCACGCAGGCGGUCUGUCAAGUCGGAUGUGAAAUCCCCGGGCUCAACCUGGGAACUGCAUUCGAAACUGGCAGGCUUGAGUCUUGUAGAGGGGGGUAGAAUUCCAGGUGUAGCGGUGAAAUGCGUAGAGAUCUGGAGGAAUACCGGUGGCGAAGGCGGCCCCCUGGACAAAGACUGACGCUCAGGUGCGAAAGCGUGGGGAGCAAACAGGAUUAGAAACCCGUGUAGUCCC
RNAcentral lists this ribosomal RNA (470 nucleotides) under uncultured organism. Its description in RNAcentral is "partial 16S ribosomal RNA". It matches the Rfam family "Bacterial small subunit ribosomal RNA", at positions 335 to 797 of the family's 1533-position model. The record is from RNAcentral.